GGAAAUCGAAUAAGGAAAUGAAAAUCCAAUAAGGAAAUUGAAACCGAAUAAGGAAAUACCGAAAAAGGAAAUGAAUAUUGAAAAAGGAAAUGAAUAUUGAAAAAGGAAGAAGAAACCGAAUAGGGAAAAGAAAAUCGAAUAAGGAAAUGAAAAUCGAAUAAGGAAAUGGAAAUCGAAUAAGGAUGAUAAUCGAAAAAGGAAAAAGAAAACGA
This 212-nucleotide long non-coding RNA is filed under the name Mytilus galloprovincialis (Mediterranean mussel). The record is from RNAcentral. Lineage: Eukaryota; Metazoa; Mollusca; Bivalvia; Mytilida; Mytilidae.